UACGUAGGGGGCUAGCGUUGUCCGGAAUCAUUGGGCGUAAAGAGUGUGUAGGCGGCCCGGUAAGUCCGCUGUGAAAGUCGGGGGCUCAACCCUCGAAUGCCGGUGGAUACUGUCGGGCUAGAGUGCGGAAGAGGCGAGUGGAAUUCCUGGUGUAGCGGUGAAAUGCGCAGAUAUCAGGAGGAACACCGGUGGCGAAGGCGGGAUCCUGGGCCAGUACUGACGCUGAGGAGCGAAAGCGUGGGGAGCAAACAGG
RNAcentral lists this ribosomal RNA (253 nucleotides) under uncultured bacterium. RNAcentral's name for it is "partial 16S ribosomal RNA". It matches the Rfam family "Bacterial small subunit ribosomal RNA", at positions 524 to 776 of the family's 1533-position model. The record is from RNAcentral.